CAACAGGGAUUGCCUCAGUAACGGCGAGUGAAGCGGCAAAAGCUCAGAUUUGAAAUCUGGCGUCAUCUUGGCGUCCGAGUUGUAAUCUGUAGAGGAGUAUUCGAGUGUGGCGUUGGCUUAAGUUCCUUGGAACAGGACGUCAUAGAGGGUGAGAACCCCGUUAACGGCCUUUGUCUUAUGCUCAUGUGAAUCUCCUUCAACGAGUCGAGUUGUUUGGGAAUGCAGCUCUAAAUGGGUGGUAAAUUCCAUCUAAAGCUAAAUACUGGCAAGAGACCGAUAGCGCACAAGUAGAGUGAUCGAAAGAUGAAAAGAACUCUGAACAGAGAGUUAAAUAGUACGUGAAAUUGUUGAAAGGGAAGCACUUGCUACCAGACACGCCUGUAGUUGAUCAGCCUUCAUUCUUGAUGGUGCACUCGGCUACAUGGUGGGUCAGCAUCAGUUGUGGCGGUGGGAUAAAGACCUGGGGAAUGUGGCUUCUCUCGGGAAGUGUUAUAGCCCUGGGUGCAAUACCGCCUGCUGCGACUGAGGACCGCGC
RNAcentral lists this ribosomal RNA (535 nucleotides) under Peziza cf. merdae CUP RPK 206. RNAcentral describes it as "eukaryotic LSU rRNA". It matches the Rfam family "Eukaryotic large subunit ribosomal RNA", at positions 66 to 600 of the family's 3401-position model. The record is from RNAcentral. Lineage: Eukaryota; Fungi; Ascomycota; Pezizomycetes; Pezizales; Pezizaceae.